Ribosomal RNA from Thermobrachium celere DSM 8682, 385 nucleotides. It matches the Rfam family "Bacterial small subunit ribosomal RNA", at positions 1 to 280 of the family's 1533-position model. NCBI's taxonomy places the organism in Bacteria, Bacillati, Bacillota, Clostridia, Eubacteriales, Clostridiaceae. The record is from Rfam.
GAACAUGAGAGUUUGAUCCUGGCUCAGGACGAACGCUGGCGGCGUGCCUAACACAUGCAAGUCGAGCGGAGGCAGCACUUAACACUGAGUGCUCAGCUUGAUAGGGGUAAGUCUUAAGCCAGCGUCAAGCACGCGUAAGCGGGCUUUACGCAAAUUAGGAUAACACAUGCUGAGAACUGAGUGUUAAGUGCUGCCUUAGCGGCGGACGGGUGAGUAACACGUGGGUAACCUGCCCUUGAGAGGGGGAUAACAGGUCGAAAGGCCUGCUAAUACCGCAUAACGCUAAGAUGCCGCAUGGCGUCUUAGCCAAAGGUUAAUUCCGCUCAAGGAUGGGCCCGCGGCCCAUUAGCUAGUUGGUGAGGUAAUGGCUCACCAAGGCGACGAU